AUGUAAAUAAUUUCUCUUCUUCCAAUAAAUUAGGAAGAAGCAAGGGGGUGCUAGGAUGUUAAAGUGCUUUUCAUUUCUGAGCGGGCAUGAGGUCAUCAAUCGACUGCCCCUUCUCAAGACAUUUCUCCAUUUUGAUCAGCAGUUUCACCCCAUCAACCACCAUCUGUACCAGCUUCACCUUGGAGAAUCCAAGAUGGUCGGCAUUGGAGACAUCAAGCACUUCUCCCACAGCAGCUGUGCCACGUUUCUGCAGCCUUCUAGGAUUUCACCAAAUUUCUCAUGCAAGAAAACCUGACCAAGUGAGAAGGUCAUCUGCAGAACUUGUAGAUAUGGUGUGACUUCUUUGGAAUGCAGAAAACCUGAAGAAUUUAACACCGGAUGCAAAAUUCAGCUGGAAUUGCACCUGUAUGCCAUGCUUACCUGCACUCUGCUAUGGCGAGAAUGCUUUCUAGGUUCCUUGGCUUAAAAACCUCAUGACAUUGUCACAUCACAUGGGACUGCACCAAAACAUGUGAAGCCAGAAUCUGCCACAGAGAAAUAAUGUCUGGUGCUAUCCCGGUGGUGAUUCUAAGCAGAUUUUGUGUCAAACUGAAGUGGUGAUAAGUCCGUCAAUAAAAAGAUUUCAUCUUCCCCCAGAGCCUAACUUAAUACAUUGAGAGCACAAUUCAAUUCUUAUAGGAAACCAAAUCAUUAACAUAUCUGUCCAAUUUUCCUACUCAGUAUGCUGGUUUGCAACACUUUACUCAAAAUGCAUCUAUUCCAAUGGGAUAACAAAUAGCUAUUCUUUCACGGCUUGUAUUCCUGGCAACAUCAUAUGGAAACAGAAUGUUGUAGGUAGAUGACAUACUGGACAAAGACAUAUUUUUUUCCUACACUCUAGUCUUAUUGCCAAACUAACAAGUUCUGGCUGUUCUGCUCUCUUUGCUGGAGGGUAAGCUAAACCAAUACAGAAAUAAAAGAGUUAUUCUUGAGGAAUAAACAGAUGGAGGUUUUCCCUCCAACUACCUCAAGCUCUGGUGUAAUUUGCGCAUUUAUAGGAUAUUUACAAUACAGGGAAGAAAACAUAACUCUUCCCUCAUACAAUGACUCCGGUAGCUAUUUCAUACGCCUAUUGUUGAGAAAUCCUGUCACUGUUUGGAGCUCUUUCUUCUUUCUCAAAAGCCCUUUAACCAGCUAGAUCUCAAUUUUAGACCAACUGAAACAUUAAUUUAAUAUCUGGUACUGCUGUCUGCUCCCCCCACAUUUAAUACCAUGUUUGUUUUUAACUGCUGAUAAUCAUUUUGGAUCUUUCAGAUACAAAACAAUGACAGGAUACAAUUAUUCUAUACAAAUACAGUACAUUUCCUGACACAACAUAGGCACCUAUUCUUAUCUUCGAGAGAGCUGACUCCGCAUCCCCAGACAGUGACCUCUAACUCACAACAGGAGUAUUUUAUUACAAAUUACCUUAUUGGCAGUAAUUAUGAGGAGCUGCUAUGAACAAAGAGGCACCUAAAAUGUUAAAUGAGGGUUUCCCAGUUGUGGUUUUGCCCACAUUUAACCCAACUAAUGGACAAUAUCUUCCAGGCUGAUGACUUUCCCCCACAAAUUAUAGAUUUAGAAACUGGACACUCAACAUCAGAAGCUCUGAGCAAUAGGGUUUUGACAUGGUUAAGAGUCUAAUGUACUUUUAACAAAUUCAGAACUUAUAAAAUUAGAGGAUAAGUAACACAUGAAUCGUGGUUUCAGAUUAAAUACAUUACAGGCCCAUUGAAUGCAUGAUCACUAUCAAAUGAACAUAUUAUAUUCAGUCUGUUACAGAUCGUGUCACAGAUUAAAUAUCACUCAUCCAAAAUGCUUUGGGACCAGGGUGUUUUGAGUUUCUAAUUUCUUUGGAAG
Anolis carolinensis (green anole) is the source of this 1878-nucleotide long non-coding RNA. RefSeq lists it as uncharacterized. The transcript is spliced from 2 exons. Lineage: Eukaryota; Metazoa; Chordata; Lepidosauria; Squamata; Anolidae. The record is from RefSeq and is a predicted model, not a curated record.